GAGUGAUGUAAAGGGAGCAAAAGGGGCUGAGAAUCCAACCCAGGGUAUCUUUGGCCUGUCCAGGAGUCUGAAUUUGUGCUUUGAUCUCCCAGGUAUUUGAAGAGGGGGAUGAUUUCAGGGGGGCGCGGAGAAGGCUGGGCGCUGCCAUCAGCUCGAUGGUUUAGGGAAGUUGACUUGCAAGGGGUGAGAAAGCCGGUCACUCCUGCAGAGCCUCCGGAUUCGUCAGGAGGAGGCGCCAUGUUUCCGCAGGCCCGGUGCAUAACCAGCACGUGCACUGGCCCAGGCAGUGAGCAAGGACUGAGCACAUUGUAACCUGUUCCGGACACACCAGAGCCGCUGGGUGGAGAUGAUACCUGUGGAACUCAGAGCAGCAGCGCUACUGACCGCACGAUGGGCCGCAAUGCAUUCCAGAGAGGCUAGCGAGGGGCUCUAAGGAGCGCUCAGACUGUAUCUGUAACAGGAUGGACCAUCCUAACGUAGGAAACUGCAAAGCAGUGCAACGCCGCUCCCGGUAACACGAGAAGACGUGGUGUUUACAGCUCCGAGAACGAUGCUAUGGGACUUAACCUACCUCAGUUUCCCUAGCUGUCAAAUGGGAACAACAACACAUCCCCACGUUUGUCAAGUACUUUCACAUCCUCUGAUGGAAGCGUCUCUGUAAAGGGCAACACGUGGGUAUUACUGUGCCUGUCGUUUUUACCCUCUUCCUAUUUCCCUCUGAUUGGGGACGGGGACGGGGGGGGGGCGGUUUAUUAAAGCACAAAAUUGUU
This 770-nucleotide long non-coding RNA is filed under the name Chrysemys picta bellii (western painted turtle). RNAcentral describes it as "lncRNA (ENSCPBG00000017354.1)". The record is from RNAcentral. Lineage: Eukaryota; Metazoa; Chordata; Testudines; Emydidae.